RNAcentral lists this ribosomal RNA (420 nucleotides) under uncultured gamma proteobacterium SUR-ATT-9. RNAcentral describes it as "partial 16S ribosomal RNA". The record is from RNAcentral. Lineage: Bacteria; Pseudomonadati; Pseudomonadota; Gammaproteobacteria.
GGUUACCUUGUUACGACUUCACCCCAGUCAUGAAACACAAAGUGGUAAUCGUCCUCCCGAAGGUUAGACUAACUACUUCUUUUGCAUCCCACUCCCAUGGUGUGACGGGCGGUGUGUACAAGGCCCGGGAACAUAUUCACCGCAGUAUUCUGACCUGCGAUUACUAUCGAUUCCGACUUCAUGGAGUCGAGUUGCAGACUCCAAUCCGGACUACGACAUUCUUUAAGGGGUCCGCUCCACAUCACUGUCUCGCUUCCCUCUGUAAAUGCCAUUGUAGCACGUGUGUAGCCCUACACGUAAGGGCCAUGAUGACUUGACGUCGUCCCCACCUUCCUCCGGUUUGUCACCGGCAGUCUCCUUACAGUGCCCAACUUAAGGCUGGCUACUAAGGACAAGGGUUGCGCUCGUUGCGGGACUUAA